GAUGAACGCUGGCGGCGUGCCUAAUACAUGCAAGUCGAGCGAACAGACGAGGAGCUUGCUCCUUUGACGUUAGCGGCGGACGGGUGAGUAACACGUGGGUAACCUACCUAUAAGACUGGGAUAACUUCGGGAAACCGGAGCUAAUACCGGAUAAUAUUUCGAACCGCAUGGUUCGAUAGUGAAAGAUGGCUUUGCUAUCACUUAUAGAUGGACCUGCGCCGUAUUAGCUAGUUGGUAAGGUAACGGCUUACCAAGGCAACGAUACGUAGACGACCUGAGAGGGUGAUCGGCCACACUGGAACUGAGACACGGUCCAGACUCCUACGGGAGGCAGCAGUAGGGAAUCUUCCGCAAUGGGCGAAAGCCUGACGGAGCAACGCCGCGUGAGUGAUGAAGGUCUUCGGAUCGUAAAACUCUGUUAUUAGGGAAGAACAAACGUGUAAGUAACUGUGCACGUCUUGACGGUACCUAAUCAGAAAGCCACGGCUAACUACGUG
RNAcentral lists this ribosomal RNA (497 nucleotides) under uncultured bacterium. RNAcentral's name for it is "partial 16S ribosomal RNA". It matches the Rfam family "Bacterial small subunit ribosomal RNA", at positions 28 to 507 of the family's 1533-position model. The record is from RNAcentral.